GUGAAAUUGUUGAAAGGGAAACGAUUGAAGUCAGUCGUACCGACGAGAAAUCAACUUUUUGAGUGCUUACUUGUGGGCGUGUGUGAGCUGUCAAAGGCCUCGCUGUUUGCAUGUUUGUGCUUUUUGGGUGUACUUUUUCGUAUGGUAGGCCAACGUCAGUUUCGAUCACUAUAAAAUGAUCGGAGGAAUGUAGCUUCGGCCUCGGUUGAAGUGUUAUAGCCUUUGGUAAAUGUGGUGAUUAGGACCGAGGAUUGCAACGAAUACCUUUUAGGCUAUCCGUCUGACCUCUGAAAGUUACUUAGGUGCCGAAAGCUUGCUUACGGUCAUUUAAGUUGACGGUCAAUAGGUUAGAACGUGAUUACAUUCGUUAAGGACGUUGACGUAAUGGCUUUAAACGAC
This 399-nucleotide ribosomal RNA is filed under the name uncultured Glomeraceae. Its description in RNAcentral is "partial 28S ribosomal RNA". Lineage: Eukaryota; Fungi; Glomeromycota; Glomeromycetes; Glomerales; Glomeraceae. The record is from RNAcentral.